AUUUGGUUUAUUCAUUUUGUGCAGUGUUGAGGUGGUGAAGGGUGCAAUACACAAUGUUGUCAAGGUGCCCCCAGACAAGCAGGUGCUGCUGGCCUCUGGGUGAUGAAACACUGGACUCCUGCAAGCGGGUGUGUCAUUACUCGGCCGGCACAGACUCGUCUCCCAUCUUUCUGUUCUCCAAGGUGGCCAUUGAGGGAGCAGCCCCCCAACCCCCUCUGUGCAGCCUGGCAGGGACGGCGACCUCAGGGCACAGGUGGAGGGGUGCCUCAACAUGCCAGCCACCUACAACAGUGUGGUGGUGCGGACACAGUUAGCACAGCAGUUUUACGAGCACGCCAGUGAGGUCACCAGAACGUGCCGCCAACUUGUUCACAACCAGCUUCUGCAGCAACAAGGCUGGGCAGUAGUGGUGGCCAACUUGGAAGACGUUGUGGCAGCCUUCAGAGCAAGACAUGAUGCAUUCCAGCAAAACUUUGUAAUCUCCGUGGCCGGGAGGAGAAGGUCGCCCUGCUUUACUUUUUUGAAGAGGACCUGAAGCUACUGGCAAGGAUUCCAGUCUUCCCUGAACUCUUGGGGAAGACACAAGAGGAAGAGGAAGAGGAGGAAGCUGGGAAGAAGAGGAGGACAAGCACAGCACAGAAGAAAGAGGAGGAGGAAGAGAAGGAAGAUGAGGAGGAGGAGGAGGAAGAAGAGGAAGAGCAUGAGAAGGAGAAGAGGGCAGGAGGAGAAGGAGAAAAAAGAGAAACACAGCAGCAGACUCGGGUACUGUUACAGCUCUGCUCCCUCCUACAGGACACGUUCCCAUCACCUUCACGUCCUGGACACGUGCACAAACUUGUGCCUGGGCAGUCUCACUGCAGCAACUGCCAGUGCUGUGACUGGGUGGCAGGAGGGAGGGACAAGCUGGCCACCCUCUCUGUCACCACCUGCUGGGGAAAGACCACCAUUAUCAUCACCUUUUUCCUUUUUUUUUUUUUUUUUUUUUUUUUCUUUCACAAUUUACAAAGAAUAUUAAGAGAGUUUGUUUUGUUAGUGUUGUGUUUGUUAUUAAAUGAUGUGUUGAUUGUGUUGUUGUUGUUUAUGUGUUAGUUGUUGUUGUGUUUUGUAUGUGUGACUGAUGAAUAAAGGCAGUCCACACUUA
Molecule: long non-coding RNA, 1141 nt
Organism: Scylla paramamosain (green mud crab)
Lineage: Eukaryota; Metazoa; Arthropoda; Malacostraca; Decapoda; Portunidae
Exons: 6
Source: RefSeq, a predicted model, not a curated record